GACGAACGCUGGCGGCGUGCCUAAUACAUGCAAGUAGGACGCAGUUGCGAACGGGUGAGUAACGCGUCGGUAACUGACUAUUAGAGGGGGAUAACUAUUGGAAACGCUAGCUAAUACCGCAUACUAGUAGAUGGACCUGCGUUGUAUUAGGUAGUAGGUAGGGUAAUGGCCUACCUAGGCGACGGUACAUAGCCGACCUGGGAGGGUGGGCGGCCAAAAUGGGACUGGGACACGGCCCAAAAUCCCUCGGGGGGGAGCAAGAGGGAAAUUUCGGGAAUGGGGGGAACGCUGAACGAGCAACGCCGGGGUAGGGAAGAAGGUUUUUGGGUCGUAAAGCUCUGUUGGUAAGGAAACGGUACUUAACCAGAAAGGGACGGCUAACUACGUGCCAGCAGCCGCGGUAAUAC
Molecule: ribosomal RNA, 407 nt
Filed under: uncultured bacterium
Lineage: Bacteria
Description: partial 16S ribosomal RNA
Rfam family: Bacterial small subunit ribosomal RNA
Source: RNAcentral